RNAcentral lists this ribosomal RNA (253 nucleotides) under uncultured bacterium. Its description in RNAcentral is "partial 16S ribosomal RNA". It matches the Rfam family "Bacterial small subunit ribosomal RNA", at positions 524 to 776 of the family's 1533-position model. The record is from RNAcentral.
UACGUAGGGUGCGAGCGUUAAUCGGAAUUACUGGGCGUAAAGCAUGCGCAGGCGGUUUUGUAAGCCAGGUGUGAAAUCCCCGGGCUCAACCUGGGAAUGGCAUUUGGGACUGCAAGGCUGGAGUGCGGCAGAGGAGACUGGAAUUCCUGGUGUAGCAGUGAAAUGCGUAGAUAUCAGGAGGAAUACCGAUGGCGAAGGCAGGUCUCUGGGCUGACACUGACGCUCAUGCACGAAAGCGUGGGGAGCAAACAGG